AUAGAAUAGAAUAGAAUAGAAUAGAAUAGAAUAGAAUAGAAUAGAAUAGAAUAGAAUAGAAUAGGUCUUCAUUAUCACUGUUACAAGAACAAUGAAAACCAGUUUAGCAGCAAAAAAACUU
Long non-coding RNA from Sphaeramia orbicularis (orbiculate cardinalfish), 121 nucleotides. RefSeq lists it as uncharacterized. NCBI's taxonomy places the organism in Eukaryota, Metazoa, Chordata, Actinopteri, Kurtiformes, Apogonidae. The record is from RefSeq and is a predicted model, not a curated record. The transcript is spliced from 3 exons.